GAUCUGGUCGCAGAGCAGGGAAAGCUGUAAUCUUAACUCCAGAGUGCUUCUAUCUCAGCAGCAUCACUGGAACAGCUCUGUUAUCCUCUAGCGCCAGCCCAGCCAGCAAUAGAAAGGGUCCUUGUGUGUACCAGUGCCACGGUAUUCAUUGCAUGGAGAGCUGCAAGGGGUGUGUGUGUGUAUAAAUGGGGCAAGGAUUCUUGAACCAGCCAUUGGACUACUGAGGAUUCUGUGCCAGGUGUGUGCCGGUGCCCCCCUCCUCCGAUGCUGGAGUGACAUAGCGCAUGGGGUCAGAUGAAGUCGUCUGAUAUUGACCAGGAAUUAUUCACUGAAAGCUAUUGCAAAGUGUGCAGUGCUCAGCUAAUAUCAGAAUCUCAGCGGGUGGCACAUUAUGAGAGUCGGAAACAUGCGAGCAAAGUGAGACUUUACUACAUGCUACAUCCCAUAGACGGAGGCUGCCCAGCCAAGAAGCUUCGAUCAGAAAACGGCAGCGAUGCCGAUGCAGUGGACAAGAACAAAUGCUGCACACUAUGUAACAUGUCCUUCACCUCAGCAGUGGUGGCCGAGUCACAUUACCAAGGCAAAAUCCAUGCCAAAAGGUUAAAACUGUUGCUAGGUGAACAGCCAGCACUAAAGGCCACAGAAACCACUCUGAGUUCACUAAAGCAGCCACAUGCGGAUAGUUCUCCUGUGGUAUCUUCACCUAACCAAAGAAGAGACUCAGACAGGUACUGCCAGCUCUGUGCAGCCUGGUUUAAUAACCCCAUGAUGGCACAACAACAUUAUGAUGGCAAAAAGCACAAAAAGAACGCAGCCAGGGCUGACUUAUUAGAACAACUAGGGAAGACAUUGGAUCUAGGAGAGCUGAGAGGUUUGAAGCGUAGUUACACUUGUAACAUCUGUAAUAUCACUCUAAACUCAAUAGAACAGUAUCACGCUCAUCUGAAGGGCUCCAAACAUCAGACCAACCUGAAGAAUCAAUAGUGAUUCAAAAGAAGGAAAAACAUCAAGAUUUUUUCUGCAAAGAAGAGUCUAUUAACCAAUAGAAAGGAUGCUUUCAUGGACAAUGAACAUUUCCUGUGUGGAUUCAUUAAUUAACGUAUAACUAAAUCUUCACUUUGGACAAAUACAUGGAUUUUCUUUUUUAAUUUUGUGAUUUCUUCUGAGAAUAUAAAAUUGCUCUAUUAAAUUAUCCAUGAUUGUGAUGUAAUCAGUCUUCAACCAGAAAUAAACAUGAUUUCUUCACCUUCUUCGGCAUGAUUUGUGUCAACAUAUAAAGAAAAAAAAUGAAUCACAGGAUGGGGAAAUGUCUGGUGGAGGAAAAUAUGAUUUAACAGCAAGUAGAUCUUAGAUGAAUCUCUCUCCUGGGUGUUCAGG
This is a non-coding RNA of Chelonoidis abingdonii (Abingdon island giant tortoise), 1377 nucleotides long. NCBI's taxonomy places the organism in Eukaryota, Metazoa, Chordata, Testudines, Testudinidae. The record is from RefSeq and is a predicted model, not a curated record.